AGCAGCCGCGGUAAUUCCAGCUCCAAUAGCGUAUAUUAAAGUUGUUGCAGUUAAAAAGCUCGUAGUUGAAUUUCGGGAUCAAUAUGUUGGUCGUGCCUCGGUACGUACUAGCUUAUUGGUUUCUCCUUUCUGAAGAACCAUGAUGUCAUUAAUUUGGUGUCUUGGGGAAUCAGGACUGUUACUUUGAAAAAAUUAGAGUGUUUAAAGCAGGCUCACGCUUGAAUACAUUAGCAUGGAAUAAUGAAAUAGGACGUUUGAUUCUAUUUUGUUGGUUUCUAGGAUCGACGUAAUGAUUAAUAGGGAUAGUUGGGGGCAUUAGUAUUCAAUUGUCAGAGGUGAAAUUCUUGGAUUUAUUGAAGACUAACUACUGCGAAAGCAUUUGCCAAGGAUGUUUUCAUUAAUCAAGAACGAAAGUUAGGGGAUCGAAGACGAUCAGAUACCGUCGUAGUCUUAACCAUAAACUAUGCCGACUAGGGAUCGGAUGAUGUUAAUUUUAAUGACUCAUUCGGCGCCUUAAC
This 518-nucleotide unclassified non-coding RNA is filed under the name uncultured Glomus. Its description in RNAcentral is "SSU rRNA". It matches the Rfam family "Eukaryotic small subunit ribosomal RNA", at positions 569 to 1092 of the family's 1831-position model. Lineage: Eukaryota; Fungi; Glomeromycota; Glomeromycetes; Glomerales; Glomeraceae. The record is from RNAcentral.